AGGACCCUAGUAAAUCAUUACAUAGCCCCGUCAGAGCUAAAUAAUAGGCUAUACCCCUAUGAGUCCUA
This 68-nucleotide transfer RNA is filed under the name Varanus niloticus (Nile monitor). RNAcentral's name for it is "tRNA-Asp". The record is from RNAcentral. Lineage: Eukaryota; Metazoa; Chordata; Lepidosauria; Squamata; Varanidae.